GCAGGAUCACCUCCAAACAAAUUAGAUCAGCGAUCUUUUUUUGUCACUUUGAUUUAUCCACCACUCUAAAUUGAUUUAGCACCUGAGCAAGUUGUCAAUGACAUGUUAGUUUUAGGUGAGAACAUUGUUCCUCCUAUUCUUUGUGAUAAUUUGGUGUCUCAAAUACCAUGUCCCUAUGUAAAUAUGUAUUAGCUGUUUCUUAGCAGGAACACCUCCAAACAAGUUGGAUCAGUGAUCUUUGUUUUUGUCACUUUGAAAUUUGUCCACUGCUCUAAAUUGAUUUAGCACCUCAGAAGUUGUCAAUGUCAUGUUAGUUCUGAGAACAUCGUUCCUCCUAUGUUAUGUGCAAUUUCUUUUUUUUUGGACUACAUCCUGUGUUAUACAAAAUGUCUUCUUUUUUUGUGUGUGUUGGGGGGGGGGGGGGGGUUGCGCCAAAUAACCUUGGUUACUGAUUAUGAUCUGAUAUUGCGUUGGUGCUGAAUCUCUGUUCAAUAUGUUUAUGAAACGGUCAGGACUCUGCAGGACACGGUGGAUUCAGGAAGGGAUGAUCUUUUAUUGGAUUUCUGUUCUUAAUUGAGGAAAGGUAUAAUCGCAUCAUCUCCCCACAUUUAUGUUUACUUUCACAGGGGCUGGAUUACUUUGACUGAUUUUAGUUUCUCAUUUCUAUACAUGCUUACAUUUAUUUGUAAUGUCCUUUUUUUUACUGAAGGGUGGUGAUCAUCUGAAGGUCAAUCUUUGGGCUGUCCAGUGCUCUUCUGGUAAUACCUAUAGGGUAUCCUGCUGCUAUACGUGUAAUGUCAUUGUUGCUUUUUUUUGGCAAUCAGUUAUCUGCUUCAGGUGAUUUUUGUUCUACAUGGCAGAGCGUCACAGGCUUUACAAAGCCAGUUGAGUCAGUAAAGCUUUGACGUUACACUAGGUGCUGGUGCAACAACUGGAGCAGUAAAGCUUUGAGUCAAUAAAGCUUUUACAGUUUCAAUGCUUCUUGCAAAACUAAACUCCUUUUAUGCUCUCAACAAUUUGACUCGACAACAUUUAUGUGUGUAGGUGAGUGAAAAUUCCUUUUGUGCAGAAGGUGCUACCAAUUUAGAGAUUGCUAAGAAAACCAUGCAUAUACAUAUAGCGACAACAGCAACAUUAAAAAUUAAAUAUUUCUUGCUUUGCUUGGUUUACGACCAUUAUACUAUUACAUUCAGCCCAUAAUCUGAUGUCAAUGUUCAGACUUAUUAAAAGUUAAGGUACAUUCUGAAUUCUUAAUUACUCCCUCCAUCCCAAAUUGUAAGUCAUUCCAAGAAUCUUGGAGAGUCAAAACAUUUUUACGUUUGACCAAAAUUAUAGAGAGAAAUACUAAGAAUUGUAACGUAAAGUUAGUAUACUUUGAAAAUAUAGUUAAGAAAGAAUUUAAUGAUAUUUAGUUGAUAUCAUAAUAAUAAUUAUUUUAUCAUAUAAAUUCGGUCAAACUUAGAAAAGUUUGAUUCUCCAAGAUUCUUCGAAUGACUUACAAUUUGGGAUGGAGGGAGUACUACAUAUCAGUUCGAGAGAAUUAUCUUAGUCAAUACACUUGAUCCUACAAGUACUUAUGUCACUUAGCUAGAUGUAUUCUAGACUUCAUGGAUACCUAAUUAUUAGUGACAGCUAUACAUCUACAUACUACCCUUUCAACGUUCCCAUGAAACAUAUAUUGCAAAAACAUGCCACCUAUUUAAGGCUUUCUCUUUUUGUGAGCUUUUAGCAACAACCUAAUUCUAAAGUUUUUUUUAAUACAACUGCAGUGUGAUAAUAGCAUAUUCAUUGCAGGAUAACACUAAUGUAUGAUCCCUCUUUUUUGUAGCCUUUUAGUGUAAUGGCUACUUACAAUAGCCGCUUAUGGUAAUUACUGGCGCCACACAGUUCAGCUAGAAUUAUUACCUUAAAGCGAAUAUUCUUCUCUAUUGUUGGCAGAGAUGGCCUAGGUAUACCUGUAACAAGUAUUGCUUCCACCCUUCUUGUCUCAUAAUGUAUAGCACUACCUAUUUGUCAUCUUCCAAAUUUGAAAUACUUGAAUGGUUCUUUAUGAUUCUGGCCAAUCAGGGUCACCACUAUAAUAGUGGCAUACAUGUAAGGACAGUUUUGGCGCAGAGAGUUCAUGUCUUCUUAACUUUUUAGUUGUUGCAGAAGCCAUGUACUCACCACACAUUUCAAGUUAUAUAUAUCGUACAUAUAGGAUUUUAAUUAAAAUAUGUUUUAUGUAUGUUUUUAGCCUUUUUUCUUCCUACAAUAGGCCAUUUAGACAUACGAUAUUUUAUAUUUAGCCCCCAUAUGCAGCCUGAGUUAAGAUAUUUUGAUGCUUUAAGAAUGAAGAUGCCAUUUUAGUUCCUACACAGACCAUUUAGGCUUUCA
Molecule: long non-coding RNA, 2376 nt
Filed under: Sorghum bicolor (sorghum)
Lineage: Eukaryota; Viridiplantae; Streptophyta; Magnoliopsida; Poales; Poaceae
Description: long non-coding RNA (SBIC_LNC004219)
Source: RNAcentral